Molecule: non-coding RNA, 784 nt
Filed under: Ochthebius sp. IBE<ESP> AN76
Lineage: Eukaryota; Metazoa; Arthropoda; Insecta; Coleoptera; Hydraenidae
Source: RNAcentral
UAAAAGUUUUAUUUUAGCUUAAGAUAUUAAUUUAUGAUUUUUAUACAUGUAUAUUUUUGUUUUUUAUAUAUAAAAUUUUAAAAAUUUUAAAUUUAUAUUUUAUUCGCAGUUUAUAAAUUUUAAAAUUUAAGAGAUUAAGAUUAAGAAAUUUAUAUUAAUAUUAACAAAAUUUGUGCCAGCAGUUGCGGUUAUACAAAUAAUAUAAUUAAUAUUUAUUAAUAAAUAAUUAAUUAUAUUAUUAAUUAAUAAAAAUUUAAAAUUAUUAAGUGAAAUUUUAAUUUUAAUUUAAUUUAAUAAAAAUUUAAUGAGGUUAUUAAAUUUUUUUUUAGACUAGGAUUAGAUACCCUAUUAUUUAAAAUGUAAAUUUAUAUAUUAAAUUAGUAAUAGUUAUUUUCUUGAAAAUUAAAAAAUUUGGCGGUAUUUUAGUCUUUUCAGAGGAACCUGUUCUAUAAUCGAUAUUCCACGAUUAAUUAUACUUAUAUUAAAUUAGUUUAUAUAUCGUCGUAGUUUGAAUAUUUUAUAAGGAUAAUAAAUAUUCAAUAUUUAAUAUUAUAAAUUAAAUCAGAUCAAGGUAUAGCUUAUAUAUAAGAAGAAAUGGGUUACAAUAAAUUUAUUUAAAUGGAUUUAAAAUUUAAAAUUUUAAUAAAAGUGGAUUUGAAAGUAAUAUAAUUUAUUUAAAUUAUAUGAUUUAAGCUCUAAAAUAUGUACAUAUCGCCCGUCACUUUCAUAUAAAAUGAAAUAAGUCGUAACAAAGUAGAUGUACUGGAAAGUGUAUCUAGAAUGA